Molecule: ribosomal RNA, 497 nt
Filed under: uncultured bacterium
Lineage: Bacteria
Description: partial 16S ribosomal RNA
Rfam family: Bacterial small subunit ribosomal RNA
Source: RNAcentral
GAUGAACGCUGGCGGCGUGCCUAAUACAUGCAAGUCGAGCGAACGGACGAGAAGCUUGCUUCUCUGAUGUUAGCGGCGGACGGGUGAGUAACACGUGGAUAACCUACCUAUAAGACUGGGAUAACUUCGGGAAACCGUAGCUAAUACCGGAUAAUAUUUUGAACCGCAUGGUUCAAAAGUGAAAGACGGUCUUGCUGUCACUUAUAGAUGGAUCCGCGCUGCAUUAGCUAGUUGGUAAGGUAACGGCUUACCAAGGCAACGAUGCAUAGCCGACCUGAGAGGGUGAUCGGCCACACUGGAACUGAGACACGGUCCAGACUCCUACGGGAGGCAGCAGUAGGGAAUCUUCCGCAAUGGGCGAAAGCCUGACGGAGCAACGCCGCGUGAGUGAUGAAGGUCUUCGGAUCGUAAACCUCUGUUAUUAGGGAAGAACAUAUGUGUAAGUAACUGUGCACAUCUUGACGGUACCUAAUCAGAAAGCCACGGCUAACUACGUG